CCGGCGACCGGCGCACGGGUGAGUAACACGUAUGCGACCUGCCCCCCGCAGGGGGAUAACCGGGAGAAAUCCCGACUAAUACCGCGUAACGCCGCGGACCUGCAUGGGUCUGCGGCCAAAGGAGGCGAUUCCGGCGGGGGAUGGGCAUGCGGCGCAUUAGCUAGUCGGCGGGGUAACGGCCCACCGAGGCGACGAUGCGUAGGGGUUCUGAGAGGAAGGUCCCCCACACUGGUACUGAGACACGGACCAGACUCCUACGGAAGGCAGCAG
RNAcentral lists this ribosomal RNA (270 nucleotides) under uncultured bacterium. Its description in RNAcentral is "partial 16S ribosomal RNA". It matches the Rfam family "Bacterial small subunit ribosomal RNA", at positions 88 to 354 of the family's 1533-position model. The record is from RNAcentral.